RNAcentral lists this ribosomal RNA (527 nucleotides) under Botryosphaeria dothidea. RNAcentral's name for it is "eukaryotic LSU rRNA". The stretch from base 157 to 310 matches the Rfam family "5.8S ribosomal RNA". The record is from RNAcentral. Lineage: Eukaryota; Fungi; Ascomycota; Dothideomycetes; Botryosphaeriales; Botryosphaeriaceae.
AUCCUCACACAAAAUUGUGUACCUACCUCUGUUGCUUUGGCGGGCCGCGGUCCUCCGCGGCCGCCCCCCUCCCCGGGGGGGUGGCCAGCGCCCGCCAGAGGACCAUCAAACUCCAGUCAGUAAACGAUGCAGUCUGAAAAACAUUUAAUAAACUAAAACUUUCAACAACGGAUCUCUUGGUUCUGGCAUCGAUGAAGAACGCAGCGAAAUGCGAUAAGUAAUGUGAAUUGCAGAAUUCAGUGAAUCAUCGAAUCUUUGAACGCACAUUGCGCCCUUUGGUAUUCCGAAGGGCAUGCCUGUUCGAGCGUCAUUACAACCCUCAAGCUCUGCUUGGUAUUGGGCACCGUCCUUUGCGGGCGCGCCUCAAAGACCUCGGCGGUGGCGUCUUGCCUCAAGCGUAGUAGAACAUACAUCUCGCUUCGGAGCGCAGGGCGUCGCCCGCCGGACGAACCUUCUGAACUUUUCUCAAGGUUGACCUCGGAUCAGGUAGGGAUACCCGCUGAACUUAAGCAUAUCAAUAAGCGGAG